AAUCUAUCAAAAUCCACACCUGUGAAUCAUUUGGUUGGCCUCUCAGGACACAUCAGUUUGUACGGCAGAAAUGCCGUACAAAUUCUUGAGGUGAUGUAUGUGUGGAGUGGUCCCCACUCCCAUUCAGACAUCAGGCAUUGUUGUUGUCCUUUCUGCUAAUAAGCAGAGCACACACAGUGUUGGCCCUUCUUAGUCUAACCGACUAACCUUAACCCAAUUACAUCUAUUUUUGAGACAUGGAGAGAUCAGCUUAGAGCUGUAUCCCUCAGAAACCAAGACAACUCUCAACAACGGAUAUCUUGGCUCUCAGAUCGAUGAAGAACGCAGCGAAAUGCGAUACGUAGUGUGAAUUGCAGAAAUACGUGAAUCAUCGAAUCUUUGAACGCAAAUUGCGCUUGAGGCUUCGGCCAAGAGCAUGUCUGCCUCAGCGUCGGGUUAAAUCUCAAUGCCGUACACACGCAUGAUGAUGCACGUGUACGACAUUGGAUCUUGUUUUCUCGGCAUUAAAUCAUUUACUCAAAUCGUUUAAUGCCGGGUGAAUUGAAGUAUGUAGAUGCUUAACCGUGGACCGUUUCAUCGGGCCUUUACUGGGUAGGCAAAGUCAGCGUUAUGUAAUGCAUACGUUGCUUGCUGCAAUGCUUUAGUAGAUGGCUUUGAGGUUCUGUGUUUCGCAAAAAAUCAGGAUUACUGUUGUACUGCACGGGACUCUGUAGUACUGUGUAGUACAGCAAGUGUACUAUUUUUUUCUCGACCUGAGCUCAGGCAAGA
Molecule: small RNA, 768 nt
Filed under: Volvox carteri f. nagariensis
Lineage: Eukaryota; Viridiplantae; Chlorophyta; Chlorophyceae; Chlamydomonadales; Volvocaceae
Description: eukaryotic LSU rRNA
Rfam family: 5.8S ribosomal RNA (bases 280-433)
Source: RNAcentral